CGAAACGACAUUUGACCACCAGCGCAUUGCCACCUGCGUUGGCGGCGUUGCCGACCGUGUCCUCUUCAGCGGGACAUUCAGAAGAAGUGAAGCGGGCCUACCAUGCGACCCUGGCACAAUUGCAGGCCGUUUAUCAUGGCAAUGGCUAAAGCUUAAGGCUAUAACUGCAGUGGCAUUGCCUUGCCGGUGCGUGUCUUCAAGGGGUCAGUGAGGUGGCCCUAACGGGUUGGGUGGCGGCGCAUCGGGUGUGCAUGUCAAAUGGACAGAUGUGAAGUAGGCGGAACGUAGUGUAACGGGCAGCGUGCGACAACGGGUUAAAACGCAUUCCGCUGCGUGGCGGGCACGGACGCCGUAAUAUCGGUGAGCUUAUCCUCGCAACGCCAAUAUAAAGCGGAAUAUUUGAUUGCAAUAAUGGCUUGCAGGCCAGUACAUCAGAGUUACCAGUACUGAAGCACGCAUAAGCGGGGGCUUUGCCCACCGGUCUCCGCUCUCCAGCUUUUAUGUAGAGCUUAGUAGUAUAUAGUUCAGAUUUGCAGUCGCUCGCUAGUGAUUAAAUACGCGAGCAGCUUGCUACUAUGAGUCUCGCGGGUAUGUGCAGAGAAGAAUUACUGUCAAAGCCCUUAUGCCUGCAGGACACCUGGCCCUCAAACAAUUCGAUGUCCUAACGUAUAGCAGGAAAUUGAGGAUUGUGCCGUCGGGCCCUUUAGGCUUUGCUUGAGGUCUUGGUAAAUUUUUGCAUGUGCAAACAGCACCAGUUUUACAGUUUCAUCAUGUUCGUAAUGUUCAUUAAACAGCCAGAAACUUGUGGAAACCGUACGUAUGCUUCGUGACAGACAAAGCUGGUAGCGGCCCAAACGCACCGCAACGCCCAAACAUCUAAUUGCACCGCUAUGCUGUUUAGCAUUAUAUACCUCUGUGUGCAUACGGAACUUUUUGCCAGUCAGUCUUGACCAAUAACUUAAAAGUUCAGAGUCAGCCCCGGUAAC
This 986-nucleotide long non-coding RNA is filed under the name Volvox carteri. Its description in RNAcentral is "long non-coding RNA (VCAR_LNC000081)". The record is from RNAcentral. Lineage: Eukaryota; Viridiplantae; Chlorophyta; Chlorophyceae; Chlamydomonadales; Volvocaceae.